AUUUGUGAAUCAUCACUCCACAGAUCAUGGCAAUCGCCGCUAGAAGGCAUCCAGCGAUGAAGGCCAUGUUGAGAUUCAGGCCGGUUACUAAAACGCAAAGGACCCUGGGAAAUGAAGUGCGCUCCUGUUUCAAUUGCAGCCGAUCUCCUGCGCCGACCGAUGGGGUUGGUUGGGAGACAUCCCCUGGAGCAUCUGGUGUUGGGGUUCCCAGCCUCACAUAGAAUGACCGAACAGCUGAUGUACACCUGACCCAUAAUGAGAUAACCUGUCAAUACAUUGCCACAUUCAAGCUGUUCCUCAUUUACUCCUAUUUACUAAUUAUGUCCUACCUGGUCAUGUAAUCCUAUGAAUUUGAAGGCAUCGAUUGAAAACCGAAACUGUUUAUUAUGACUUGGGGGAUAGAGGACAACAGUGGAGUCCUGUACACACCUAGGUAAAAAGAAAGAGCAAAUAAAGAUUACAAUUAAAGAAAGAGUGCUGUCAAUAAAGAGUGCUGUCAAUCUA
Gadus morhua (Atlantic cod) is the source of this 504-nucleotide long non-coding RNA. RefSeq lists it as uncharacterized. The record is from RefSeq and is a predicted model, not a curated record. Lineage: Eukaryota; Metazoa; Chordata; Actinopteri; Gadiformes; Gadidae. The transcript has 2 exons.